GAGUUUGAUCGUGGCUCAGAUUGAACGCUGGCGGCAGGCCUAACACAUGCAAGUCGAGCGGAUGAAGGGAGCUUGCUCCUGGAUUCCAGCGGCGGACCGGGUGAGUAAUGCCUAGGAAUCUGCCUGGGUAGUGGGGGAUAACGUCCGGAAACGGGCGCUAAUACCGCAUACGUCCUGAGGGGAGAAAGUGGGGGAUCUUCGGACCUCACGCUAUCAGAUGAGCCUAGGUCGGGAUUAGCUAGUUGGUGGGG
Molecule: ribosomal RNA, 251 nt
Filed under: uncultured microorganism
Description: partial 16S ribosomal RNA
Rfam family: Bacterial small subunit ribosomal RNA
Source: RNAcentral